GCGAGUGGCGAACGGGUGAGUAAUACAUCGGAACGUGCCCUGUAGUGGGGGAUAACUAGUCGAAAGAUUAGCUAAUACCGCAUACGACCUGAGGGUGAAAGUGGGGGACCGCAAGGCCUCAUGCUAUAGGAGCGGCCGAUGUCUGAUUAGCUAGUUGGUGAGGUAAAGGCUCACCAAGGCGACGAUCAGUAGCUGGUCUGAGAGGACGAUCAGCCACACUGGGACUGAGACACGGCCCAGACUCCUACGGGAGGCAGCAGUGGGGAAUUUUGGACAAUGGGCGAAAGCCUGAUCCAGCAAUGCCGCGUGUGUGAAGAAGGCCUUCGGGUUGUAAAGCACUUUUGUCCGGAAAGAAAUGGCUCUGGUUAAUACCUGGGGUCGAUGACGGUACCGGAAGAAUAAGGACCGGCUAACUACGCGCCAGCAGCCGCGGUAAUACGUAGGGUCCAAGCGUUAAUCGGAAUUACUGGGCGUAAAGCGUGCGCAGGCGGUUGUGCAAGACCGAUGUGAAAUCCCCGAGCUUAACUUGGGAAUUGCAUUGGUGACUGCACGGCUAGAGUGUGUCAGAGGGGGGUAGAAUUCCACGUGUAGCAGUGAAAUGCGUAGAGAUGUGGAGGAAUACCGAUGGCGAAGGCAGCCCCCUGGGAUAACACUGACGCUCAUGCACGAAAGCGUG
RNAcentral lists this ribosomal RNA (676 nucleotides) under uncultured Ralstonia sp. RNAcentral's name for it is "bacterial SSU rRNA". It matches the Rfam family "Bacterial small subunit ribosomal RNA", at positions 91 to 763 of the family's 1533-position model. The record is from RNAcentral. Lineage: Bacteria; Pseudomonadati; Pseudomonadota; Betaproteobacteria; Burkholderiales; Burkholderiaceae.